Molecule: non-coding RNA, 30 nt
Filed under: Rattus norvegicus (Norway rat)
Lineage: Eukaryota; Metazoa; Chordata; Mammalia; Rodentia; Muridae
Source: RNAcentral
UAUGAGUCUCUGAAUUAUGUAAGGAUAAUA